Molecule: non-coding RNA, 114 nt
Organism: Acanthosepion pharaonis
Lineage: Eukaryota; Metazoa; Mollusca; Cephalopoda; Sepiida; Sepiidae
Source: the annotation of a GenBank genome assembly
UUAUGGCCACAUCAGGUUGAAACAGCAGCUCUUGUAUGAUCACAAAAGUUUAGAAAUGUUGAGCCUGGUCAGUACUUAGAUGGGUGACUGUGUGUGAAUACCAGGUGCUGUAAG